RNA transcript from Pseudomyrmex gracilis, 3591 nucleotides. RefSeq lists it as uncharacterized. The record is from RefSeq and is a predicted model, not a curated record. The transcript is spliced from 6 exons. NCBI's taxonomy places the organism in Eukaryota, Metazoa, Arthropoda, Insecta, Hymenoptera, Formicidae.
UACAUUAUCUAAAGAAGAGCUAUUAUUUACAAUAACCAUAUAAAAAACUUAUUUUCAGGGUUGUGGAGUGCAGCUUUUUACUACCUGCAAUAGUCGUAAUUAUAUGGAGCUCUCUUAUAAAAAGAAAAAAUCAUCCUUACAAACAUUUUAAAAUUAAUAAAUAUUACACGGGUAAAAUAUAUCCGAAUUGCAGCAGCCUUCAAUUUAACUGACAAUUUUACACCGUAAACGAGAUGAAAUUGAAACUAUUAAGUAAAACAUGUCAAAUAGUAAUUCGAAAAUUUUUAGGAAUUGUUUGUUUUUUAUUGCUUGCUCCGUUUCUUAUCACGAUUUUGAUGGUUUUAUAUAUUUACCGCUGUUGGGUGAAAACUGUGCUAAGAAUUCAACUUGAAGACAAAUUUGCCGGUCUGUUGGAAGGGUCGGAUGCUUUUUGGUCCGUCAAAGAUACAUCUUUAUCCUUGAUUACUGUCGUAUUAAUAAUGAAGAAAACCGCAGGAAGUACAAAUACGACUUUCAUAAAGCAUAUCAGAAAAUUAUUUACUCAUUUAUCAAAGACUGUUCCCAAGGAGCUCGAUAAACUGUUUUACUACAGAUAUCAAAAGUUUGGUUACUUUUAUUGGAAGAAAUCAAAAUUUAAUCCAGAAACCGCAAUUAGAUGGUUGGAGUGUGAAAUCAGUAAUUGCGAUGGAUCUUGCGAGAAUGUUCACAGUACAACCUUUCAAGAAAAUCUAGGUUUUAUAAGCAACAGACCGUUGUAUGAUGAUCACAAACCGAUGUGGGAAAUGCUUAUUGGCAGACGUUGUCCAAACGUCAAAUCUUCCAUUGAAGAGGAUCCGAGGUUGUCUUCUCAAGACAGCUUUAAUACCGAACUAGACGAAGUUCCUGUAGUAUUUCGCGUUCAUCAUUCUCUUGGUGAUGGUAAAGCUUUAUUCAAGUUGCUUAAUGUGUUUGUCGACGAGGAUAUCACAAAUGAAGUGUCGACAGUAUUGGAUGAACCCCAGGACAGCGUUUUGUCUGCUAAAGAAAACUAUUUUAAGGAGCAAGAAACUAAUCCAAAACGAAAAAUUAUUUUAAACUUGAAAGGGGUAUAUAACACAAUUAAAGAAAUCAUAAGAAAAGUAAUACUUAUAUUGUUUUCUCUAGAAAUCUUUGUCUCUCAAAUUGUUCGUAAUAGGAUGACCGAUGGCAAAAGCUCUCUGCAUGGUCGAUCUUUAUCAGGUGAGAAAUUUAUAGUUUAUCGUUUGGAAAACGAUACCAAUAAAUCGCAGCUUCUGACAAAAAUUAAAAAAAUAAGACAGUGUACAGGAGCAAAAGUUACUGACAUAAUAUUAACAGCUUUUGCUGCUGGGAUAAUUAAAUAUUAUUUACGCAUGAAGGAAGUAAUACCCAACGCAAUAUCGGUUCUCAUACCAAGAAGACUUUCUAUGUAUAAUGACAACCUAGUACUGACCAAUGAUAUUUCGAUUAAUAUAGUUAAAAGUUGUUUAGUCAACGCGAAUAAAAAUGAUGUUUUAACGUCACCUACAAACUUUCGGUUCUUUGAACGUCUUCAGAGAACUACAAUAAUAAAUAACAAAAUUAGAAGUAGUUUAGAAGCAUCGUUAAAUUUUUUCCUUUUGGAACAUUUACUGGGAAUUUUGCCGGGGGAAAUUCUAAAACUUCUUAUUGCAACUCACAAUCCCACAAUGGCAUUUAGCAAUAUAAAAGGAAUACAAAGAAAACUUUCUAUUCAGAAUCAUCCUUUAAGCAACAUGUUGUUUUGGAUACCGAACAAAAAUACAACCGGGUUGUCUUUAAGUGUAAUUACUUACGAAGGCAAAUUAAAUCUGUCUCUAUUGGUUGAUAAAGCAGUAAUAAGAGAUAUGAAAGUAAUCAGAGAAAUACUAGACGAAACUAUAUAUGAAAUAGACUCUGCGUAUAAUGAUCUCGCAAGUUUCGAAAUCAUCGGAUCGUUCAGUGAAAACACUUGUGGAAAAAAAUAGAAAUGUUGGAAACAUCAGGAAAACAAGUUGCUGCGCCGCAGGAUCAUUUUAAAAAACAACGCUGUUAAUAAUCAAGGAAUAAAAAUUCUUUUUUAUUGACUAGUUUCGUGAAAUGCACAUGUCAGUUAUGUCCUACACACGCUCAAAUGCAGAAUAAAAACGAAAUAUAUUUUAAAGAAAUAAUUCGUCAACGAAACUAUUUUAAUGCUCAAUUGUGGCAACCGUCUGAGGAUAUACGAGACAUAAAAACUGCUGGUCUAAAUCAAGCUCCUAGUAACGGCAUUCAAAGACAAGAAUCAGUUUUCUGUUCUUUUACGCUUCCGUUAGAAACGGAACAACAAUUAGAAGAGGUUGUGCAAUUUUUAAGAAUUCAGGCUAAUUUUAAGAUAUUGAUAAUAUUUUGUAUUAAAUACUAUAACCUUAUAUAUUAAGUAUUAUAACCUUAAGGUACAAAUAUUUUAUUUAUUUCGGUGUACUUAAUGCAAUUAUAUAAGGAAAGGUUGCCAAUAUUGGCUCCUCGAUUAAAUCAGUGUCUGUAACGCAAGUCUUUAUAGGUAUAUAAGUAUACACAAAAACAUAUUUAUGUGUAAAUAUACAUGCGUCAUGCAUAAAUAUUGUAUAUGUCUUUAUGUAAUAUGGCGUGGCAGAACGACUACAGAUGCAUUCGCUCACCUUCGUCACAACCGAAAUCCUCUCCCCGCUGUCCUGAGCCUUUCGCCGUCACCUGAGUAUAUAAGGUGGCAAAAAUCGCGAGACGAGAGAACUAGUUUAAACUAUUGCAAAAAAAACUCUUCAGUCAGGAGUCGAACCUGGUAUCUCCGGUUUUACGGGCCAUCGCCUUUCCUGUUAGGCCAAAUAACAAAAGAGAAUUUUGUCUUGAUCGGAUCAAGUCGAUUUGUCAGGGCGAGUCUCUACGGUCAACCGGCGAAAAAGCACGCGGUCCUUGAUGUUACAAAGAACGCGAGAAAUCCGCUCAACUUGACCACUGGUAAAUAAUUUGUUCUGGAGGAUCGCACCUGAUUGAUUAACUUAGAUAAUAACGCGUGUGUAAUUAGUCUCGGCGGCUUUCUACCUUAUCGAACUCUGCGGGCUAUCGGAUUUCGUGAUAGUUAUUGCGCUAAGAUUUUCGUAUUUAUCCUGCGAGGAUCCAUACACGAACGCAGAUGCUAUCUACUUUAUUAUAUUUCGCUAGACAAGGGUCGUCGAAAACAUUCUCUCGGAAUAAGUGUUAUCGGACUGUUCGGGUUACAAAAACUCAGGUUUUUUUAUCGGACGCAAAUAUCGGCGGCAAUCUUAUACAAUUGUACCGCAAAUAACCAAAAAGUUGAGAUAUCUUUUGUGACAUAGCGUUUAACGCGUGCGGCCGCUUUACUAUUAUUGUAAGCGGCUGAUCUGACGUGUGCUGCUUGAGCAGGUUGUUGAUUAGGCGUGUCGAGAAUUCUAGCGAGCCUAGAGUUACAAGCACACGAAGGGCGGUUCUCGCUUGUUUGCGCGUCCCCACCGCUUCGAUCUCUCGUUGCUCUCUGCUCGAUCUUGUAACUCUGAGCGAGCCUCUGAAGCCUCUUGCACAAUGGACGGAAUAGCGAUAGCGAUAGAAAUAAUACCAGUU